This is a long non-coding RNA of Mya arenaria, 1610 nucleotides long. RefSeq lists it as uncharacterized. The transcript has 5 exons. The record is from RefSeq and is a predicted model, not a curated record. NCBI's taxonomy places the organism in Eukaryota, Metazoa, Mollusca, Bivalvia, Myida, Myidae.
UCUACUAUCAUCUCAUAAGGAACGACCAAAAUCAAUAUAGUUGGUGGCGGAUUCGUGGUCUAGUGGAAACACAUUUGACUGUCAAUCCAGGGGUUGCAGGUUCGAUUCCCUGCCGCAUCAUAUGCCACUUGAAGAGCCACGCCUUCGUUUUAUUACCAGAGUGUGAUAAGAGCGGGACGGUGCAGUAAUUUGAAAGCGGUGGUGUAUUUGGUCUUUUAAAAUACAAUAACAAUCUAUCAACGAGCGAGUAUAUGGCAAAAGCAAAUCAUCGGAGCUGUUUUAAAUGUCAUAGAGUGAAACAGGAUAUAAAUAGGAUAAUGUAAGGAUAUAAAUGAUUUCAAUGUGCAGAAGGAAUCAGCGUUCACCAAACACUAUUGAACUCCUCAACUUGAUAAAGGCUGUACAUUCAUUGAUCGCAUGCGAAACGAUAAAAUGAUGUCACUUCUCACGUGUUCGAUAGUUCUUAGCAUCCUCACCAUCACAAGUGCUUUUCCGGAUCAAACGAACCCCUUUGAUUUGUGCGAUACACCAAUACCGGAUGACAAAAACGACUGCGGAAUUGCUGGCGUAUGGCGUAACCAACUGCAGUCGGUGAUGAAGUUCACCUGCGUUGCGGGUCACAUCGAGGGCCAGUAUUACACUGCUGUUGGUAAUGCUGAUGGUUUCUAUGACUUCGCUGGAAAGUUCCAGAUGCCAGACCAAAACACGACCGUUUUGGGAUGGGUGGUUGCCUUCAAUAACCUUUUAUACGGGAAUUCCAACUCCACAUGCGCUUGGUCCGGAAUCCACUACAGCCAUGAAGGUAUUAUCCACACCCAUUGGCUUCUGACGCACUACUUUCCACGCGCAAACCUCUGGAGGACAACUACCAUGAAUCACGACGACUUUAACAAAGUUUGCUGAAGAGCUUUAACAUUUGACUUUUAUGUGUAUACUUUGCUCAGUUUUCAGUCGCCAACUUAAACAAUUAUCAUGGUAAUCAUAAUUUAUUUUCUUAAAGAUGCACUCUUACAGAUUGACCGUUUUGACAUUUUUUUUCUCCGAAUGAGCCAAUUUUUAGCGUAAAUGUCUGGAAACUAGUGAUACAAGAUUGCUGACAAAGAUUAUAUCGCAGUUUUUUAUAUUUUGGUGCGAGAAUUGAUGUUUUAUGGCUUACGCUUUAGGAUUUUUUUUUUGAAAUUUUGGCAGCUUCCUUAACCAUUGAUAUCUACUCUACUGUGUGUUAUCUUAAAUGAAAAAUUUGAAUGCAUUGAUACCAAUCAGCAAUUCUGAGACAAAACUAAAUAAAAAAUGUCAGUCUGUGAGUGUGCAGCUUUAACAAUACAUUUGUUGAUGGUUUACUUUAAAAAGUAUUGCAUAUACCUUUGCAAAUUAAUUUCAAAUAACGCGCAACUGUAAACAUGCGUGCCCAUUGUAUCCAUCUUUCAUUACAAAAUGAUCAAUAUAAAAUACCAACCAUAACUUACAUCACAACAGCAUUGUAUAGCAACUUAUUGUUUUGUUUCAUUUCAUCUAACGAAAUCAAUGUAUUUUUAUUGCUUUGCAUACUUUUUUAUCAUAUAAGUAUGGAUGUCAUGCAAGUCGCUUUGAAAUAAACGUGUGUAUUCGGA